This 463-nucleotide long non-coding RNA is filed under the name Equus caballus (horse). RNAcentral's name for it is "lncRNA (ENSECAG00000059839.1)". Lineage: Eukaryota; Metazoa; Chordata; Mammalia; Perissodactyla; Equidae. The record is from RNAcentral.
GGGACCCGUCACGCACAGCUUUCCUGACUUUCUUCCUCAUUCACCUGCGACAGGGCUUGUACCUCAGAUGGAAACUUCAGAGCAGAGCUCCUGAGAAGUUUGUGUGAGGGAGAGAAAGGGGCUCUCCCUGACGUAUUUGAGAAACGCGGCUUUCUUAUCCAGUCGGAAAAACUUAGCAGAGUACUAGAGAACACCUGAGAGACUAUUAAAUAAGUCUUUUCUGCUCUUUCAGUUUCUCUAUAUGCCUCAAGAUAAUUUAUUUUUCUCUAUAUGCCUCAAGUUAAUUUAUCUUCCAUAGAAAAGAAAAAAUUUCCAGAUGCAGCCAGAAUUGAGAACUGCCUCCUGCCAUAUUUGUGGUUUGUGUUCCUUUUACUUUCUCCAGUAUCUCUAGCAUCUCAAGGUACCAGAGAUACUGUCAGGCGGAUAUGCAGAGACAGCGCAGCUGACUGAACUCAAUAAGGAC